This 941-nucleotide long non-coding RNA is filed under the name Homo sapiens (human). Its description in RNAcentral is "HSALNT0336074". Lineage: Eukaryota; Metazoa; Chordata; Mammalia; Primates; Hominidae. The record is from RNAcentral.
GUGGGCACCUGUAGUCCCAGCUACUCGGGAGGCUGAGGCAGGAGAAUGGCGAAUGGCGUGAACCCAGGAGGCGGAGCUUGCAGUGAGCUGAGAUCGCGCCACUGUACUCCAGCCUGGGCGACAGAGUGAGACUCCGUCUCAAAAAAAAAAAAAAAAAGUGGUUCAUAAAAAUGAGCCAGCCCACAGGCCCCACCCUUGGCAUUCUGAUCAGGGUGCCAUUAGAGAAUGUUCUCUAAACUCUGGCAAACAAAUAAGGGGGCCUCUCCUCUCCCAGAGUAGUAACUCCUGCUGUUGUUAUUAAGCCAAGCUCCACAUGUCAGUCACCUGGAAUCAGAUAUCAAAAAAAGGUGUACUGAUUUUUAGCUGCUUCCUCCCCCGGUCUGGUUGCCCUAGUGCGUUAAGUUCAGAGAGAUCAGCAGCUGUCAGAUUGGAAUCUCCCCAGCCUCAGUACAAACUGGCAGAGGGUUUCUUAAUGGCCUUGCCAUACAUGUGGUGCCUGGUUUUUCUCUCAGUGUACAGAGCAGGUGUCUGAGGGGAAGGAAGUGCCCACUCACUUUGGCUGUUGUGAAUCACCAGAGCUGCAGCCUGGCCAUGUAGUCUCUGCACUGGGAGUCAGGUGGAGUACCCCAGGCCCCUGUCCAGAAUGGAGCUUGACAUCUAUGCUAAAACCUUUCUUAAGGCUCCAAUUAACUGCCUAAGAGCACUAGCAAAUCUUUGCAGCAGUUCAACAUCUAUUUAGAAAUGCCCUUUGGUCUCCCUGUUUCAGAUACACAUCAGAGCAGGUGACUUUCACUUUCCCAGGACUCAAAAUGGAGACUGGGGAAUCCUUGUCAGAAUAAACAUUAAUGGAGGGCCGGGUGCGGUGGCUCACGCCUGUAAUCCCAGCACUUUGGGAGGCUGAGGCAGGUGGAACACUUGAGGCCAGGAGUUUGAGACCAGCC